UGGGGAAUUUUGGACAAUGGGCGCAAGCCUGAUCCAGCCAUGCCGCGUGCGGGAAGAAGGCCUUCGGGUUGUAAACCGCUUUUGUCAGGGAAGAAAUCUUCUGAGUUAAUACCUCGGGAGGAUGACGGUACCUGAAGAAUAAGCACCGGCUAACUACGUGCCAGCAGCCGCGGUAAUACGUAGGGUGCAAGCGUUAAUCGGAAUUACUAGGCGUAAAGCGUGCGCAGGCGGUUUUGUAAGACAGAGGUGAAAUCCCCGGGCUCAACCUGGGAACUGCCUUUGUGACUGCAAGGCUUGAGUGCGGCAGAGGGGGGAUGGAAUUCCGCGUGUAGCAGUGAAAUGCGUAGAUAUGCGGAGGAACACCGAUGGCGAAGGCAAUCCCCUGGGCCUGCACUGACGCUCAUGCACGAAAAGUGUGGGGAGCAAACAGGAUUAGAUACCCUGGUAGUCCACGCCCUAAACGAUGUCAACUGGUUGUUGGGAAGGUUCCUUCUCAGUAACGUAGCUAACGCGUGAAGUUGACCGCCUGGGGAGUACGGCCGCAAGGUUGAAACUCAAAUGAAUUGACGGGGUGCAUAGCUGUUUCCUAG
RNAcentral lists this ribosomal RNA (590 nucleotides) under uncultured bacterium. RNAcentral describes it as "partial 16S ribosomal RNA". It matches the Rfam family "Bacterial small subunit ribosomal RNA", at positions 355 to 940 of the family's 1533-position model. The record is from RNAcentral.